RNAcentral lists this long non-coding RNA (886 nucleotides) under Sus scrofa (pig). Its description in RNAcentral is "lncRNA (ENSSSCG00055014486.1)". The record is from RNAcentral. Lineage: Eukaryota; Metazoa; Chordata; Mammalia; Artiodactyla; Suidae.
ACUGCGCGCGCCCUCAAACGCAGCCAGGCCGCCUAGCAACCCGGUUUCCAGCCAGUGUCUCGCCGGAACAAGUGGCCUUCCCUGGAGUUCUGUUCCCACCAGCUGGUCUCGGCUCUUCCCUAUCAUUUCCCCUUCUCCCCUCCACUGGUUCCAAUUUCGCCCACGGUGUGCGUCCCAAAACGCUGAACCGGCUCCUAAAAUGAGUACUCGUGGUUUCCGCGUGGGAACCCACCUCUGGGGCCUCUGGCCCGCCCUCCGCUGGCUUAGGUGGCUGCUGGGGCUGGGGCUGCUCCUGGGGCUUCAGGCCGCCCUCUGCGUGGCUUUCUAUCUCCCGGGGUUGGCUCCCGUCAACUUCUGCGAGGCGGACCAAGAGACUGCCACCUGCAAGUCUCUGCAAACAGCAAGUUAAUUUGUACCUCUCAGACUUGCGAGAAUAAAAUGAGACAACGUAUGACAAGCACUGACAAAAACACUUGGCACAUGUCAUCUGUAGCACUAUUUGUAAAUAGUCUGGACUCAGUGGAACCUGCUGUCUUAUGAAUAUAAUAUUUUUAACAAGACAGAAACAUGUUCAAAAGUUUGUGUAAAAUUUUAUGAUAUAGCAAGUGAAGAUCGAAAGAAAAGGCUGGAUUUUUUGAAGAAAGGAACACAGCUGAAUUAUCAACGUCACUGUUUGAAUUCAACAGAAGUAAUACUUUCUACCUCUUCGACCACACUGAUAUUACCGUUACAUAUCCUGGGGAAAGUGAAACAAAUUGGGCUAUUGCAAGUUUGGUUACUGCUUGACUUGAUCUCAAAAGCUGACAUAUGCAUGCAAGAAAACGUUCAUCUGAUCGCAGUAAAACUCGUUUAUUGGGGCCUCCUGAGAACAAGGUCCGUAUUAUAA